Molecule: ribosomal RNA, 415 nt
Filed under: uncultured bacterium
Lineage: Bacteria
Description: bacterial SSU rRNA
Rfam family: Bacterial small subunit ribosomal RNA
Source: RNAcentral
AGGAAUCUUCCACAAUGGGGGAAACCCUGAUCCAGCGCCGCCGCGUGGGUGAAGAAGGCCUGCGGGUUGUAAAGCCCUUUCGGUUGGGAAGAAAAGUUGCGACCUAACACGUCGCGACCUUGACGUAACCAACUAAAGAAGCACCGGCUAACUCUGUGCCAGCAGCCGCGGUAAUACAGAGGGUGCGAGCGUUAAUCGGAAUUACUGGGCGUAAAGCGCGCGUAGGCGGCUUGGCAAGUUGGGUGUGAAAUCCCCGGGCUCAACCUGGGAACUGCAUUCGAGACUGCUUUGCUAGAGUAUGGGAGAGGGAGGUGGAAUUUCCGGUGUAGCGGUGAAAUGCGUAGAUAUCGGAAGGAACAUCAGUGGCGAAAGCGACUUCCUGGACCAAUACUGACGCUCAUGUGCGAAAGCGUGG